Molecule: small nucleolar RNA, 142 nt
Filed under: Chlamydomonas reinhardtii
Lineage: Eukaryota; Viridiplantae; Chlorophyta; Chlorophyceae; Chlamydomonadales; Chlamydomonadaceae
Description: CrACA10g snoRNA
Source: RNAcentral
GCGUCACAACCUCCAUACUGCCCAGUAUUACAGUGCAGCAGCGUGGCAAGGAGAUGCGCACAUUUCUGGGUCUUGCGUGGCUCAUUUUGGGAAGAGCGCCUGUGCAGUGGCGCCUCCCCGCGGGCGGCGUGGCCUCAAAUCU